AAUGAACGUUGGCGGCGUGGAUUAGGCAUGCAAGUCGAGCGAGAACCGUAGCAAUACGGGGACAGCGGCGAAAGGGACAGUAAUGUGUAGGUACCUACCCCUGGGUUCGGGAUAGCUGCGGGAAACUGCAGGUAAUACCGAAUAAUGUCUCCGGACCAAAGGUGUGAUUCCACCUGGGGAGGGGCCUGCAUCCUAUUAGCUUGUUGGCGGGGUAACGGCCCACCAAGGCAACGAUGGGUAGCGGGUGUGGGAGCACGACCCGCGUCAUUGGGACUGAGAUACUGCCCAGACACCUACGGGUGGCUGCAGUCGAGGAUCUUCGGCAAUGGGCGAAAGCCUGACCGAGCGACGCCGCGUGCGGGAUGAAGGCCUUCGGGUUGUAAACCGCUGUCGUUGGGGAGGAAGUGCAGGGGGGUUCUCCCCUCUGUUUGACCUAUCCAAGGAGGAAGUACGGGCUAAGUUCGUGCCAGCAGCCGCCGUAA
RNAcentral lists this ribosomal RNA (482 nucleotides) under uncultured bacterium. Its description in RNAcentral is "partial 16S ribosomal RNA". It matches the Rfam family "Bacterial small subunit ribosomal RNA", at positions 28 to 523 of the family's 1533-position model. The record is from RNAcentral.